This 534-nucleotide long non-coding RNA is filed under the name Olea europaea subsp. europaea. Lineage: Eukaryota; Viridiplantae; Streptophyta; Magnoliopsida; Lamiales; Oleaceae. The record is from RNAcentral.
AUUAUAUCAAAAAAAUAAAAAUAAAAACUGAUUUACCCUCUUUGAAUUUCAGCGUAGUGAUUUCAGCAGCCUGGGCAAUCCAUUUUCAUUUUAUCUCAAUAGUCUUUUUCCGUGAACCCUCAAUUCAAUUCGAAAUAAACUCGCCAAAUUGAAGCUGGAAUUCGAAUAUCUAUUCUACAUUAAGCAUAGUUCAAUUUUGAAUUGACCUACGAAUCGUGGUGGCAUUAAUUUAAACAAAUCCAGUACAAAGUUUGGACAGGAUUCCAAUCCGUAUUGAGAGAAGAACAUGAUAACUCGGUCGAAACUCGUAGAGCAACUCAGAGAUAACCAGAUCCGAUCCCAACACAAGUGCCUCGCCCUUACUGUAUUUUCUCCCAAACCUGCUAUUGCCUCCUGGUAAGCCCUACAUGCAUAUACAAACCUGAUUUUACAUACGAAGUUAUAUGCAUAUGUGUUUGUCUGUCGUUGUGUUUGCUUAUGUUGGUUCGUCAAUAUUGGAGAUUCUUACACUAAAUUAGCUAUUGUACACAUGGG